GACGAACGCUGGCGGCGUGCUUAACACAUGCAAGUCGAACGGAAAGGCCCUGCUUUUGUGGGGUGCUCGAGUGGCGAACGGGUGAGUAACACGUGAGUAACCUGCCCUUGACUUUGGGAUAACUUCAGGAAACUGGGGCUAAUACCGGAUAGGAGCUCCUGCUGCAUGGUGGGGGUUGGAAAGUUUCGGCGGUUGGGGAUGGACUCGCGGCUUAUCAGCUUGUUGGUGGGGUAGUGGCUUACCAAGGCUUUGACGGGUAGCCGGCCUGAGAGGGUGACCGGCCACAUUGGGACUGAGAUACGGCCCAGACUCCUACGGGAGGCAGCAGUGGGGAAUAUUGCACGAUGGGCGGAAGCCUGAUGCAGCAACGCCGCGUGCGGGAUGACGGCCUUCGGGUUGUAAACCGCUUUCGCCUGUGACGAAGCGUGAGUGACGGUAAUGGGUAAAGAAGCACCGGCUAACUACGU
This 467-nucleotide ribosomal RNA is filed under the name uncultured bacterium. RNAcentral describes it as "partial 16S ribosomal RNA". It matches the Rfam family "Bacterial small subunit ribosomal RNA", at positions 28 to 506 of the family's 1533-position model. The record is from RNAcentral.